AUCCUUGCCUGGCAGGAGAACAAUAACGUUCACAAAAGUGGGUUCUCCUGGUAAGGUGAUUCACUUGCUCUCCUGUUACUGACUCCUGUUACUUCCCCAGGUGUGGAAAACUAGAUGGCACAUUUGAGGUGGAGAGGACUGCACACACUCCUGG
Molecule: small nuclear RNA, 154 nt
Filed under: Ailuropoda melanoleuca (giant panda)
Lineage: Eukaryota; Metazoa; Chordata; Mammalia; Carnivora; Ursidae
Description: U1 spliceosomal RNA (ENSAMEG00000022594.2)
Rfam family: U1 spliceosomal RNA
About the family: U1 is a small nuclear RNA (snRNA) component of the spliceosome (involved in pre-mRNA splicing). Its 5' end forms complementary base pairs with the 5' splice junction, thus defining the 5' donor site of an intron. There are significant differences in sequence and secondary structure between metazoan and yeast U1 snRNAs, the latter being much longer (568 nucleotides as compared to 164 nucleotides in human).
Source: RNAcentral